This 1629-nucleotide long non-coding RNA is filed under the name Mus spicilegus (steppe mouse). Its description in RNAcentral is "lncRNA (ENSMSIG00000024521.1)". Lineage: Eukaryota; Metazoa; Chordata; Mammalia; Rodentia; Muridae. The record is from RNAcentral.
UUUGUGAGAGAUUUAUUGGGAGAAAGAGAGAAGGGAUGGUGGCAGCAGAAAGAGAAGGGGGAAAGAGAGAGAGAGGGAGGGGUUAUUCCCCUUAUUUAUAUGGAAAAUGAUGUAAGGCAGAUAAAGGUGGUGGUGAGCCAAGUGGAUUCUAGGAAUAUGGUGCCUGUUGUCUUGGCAACAGGUCUGCAUGUCAUGCUGUUGCCUAUGUGAUGUCAUAGGUUUGGGAGAUUCUGAUGCCUACAGGAUGCACUUAUCAUUUUCCCCAGUACAAAGACCAUCAUGCAAUACCAGAAUGGUACCCAGCAAGAUGCUGAUGGAGCACUUACACCUGUGAGUCAAGGGUCAGACUCAAAAGCAGACACAGAAAGAAAGAAACACAGAUCUUCUAAAGAAGAAAGCACCAUCAGUAAGGACAGUAUUCCAGUUUUAGAUGAAGUGCAAGACAAAACCUUUGAACAUCAAGAGUCAGGAUUAAGAUUAGAAGUUCAGGCAAAGAAACUAACGUUCAGCCCUCAAAAUAUUCACAAUAAAGAAUCAGCUACAGAUAUUAAAGUGGAGUAUCAAAAUGUACCAUCAAGCUCCCAAGUCCAGUUAAAGAAGCAAAAGCCUUUGGGAGGAGAAAUAUUUACUACUCAUUUUGUAGUACCAGCGGAAAGUCAUGCACAAUUAUAUCAAACGUAUACACCAGAAAUACAAAUAGAAAGAGGAACAACUUCUGGCACUGCAAGACUCACUACAAUUCCUGUAGAACACCCUAAAAAGGAAGCAUCACCGGACAAUCUAUUUCCUGAGAAGAAACUUUAUAUAACUAGAGCCCCGACUCAGACCAAGAAACAGUACCCUCCUUGGGACACUAAUGCAGAGAGUCAGAACAUCGAGCUAAGGUGUGAUGAAAAUUAUAUGUCAGUAGACCCAACAUCAAAAGAUCAUCCUCAAUUUAAGAAACUGAAAACUACCCACAUAGAAAACACUGCUCAGAAAAAAACAGUCAAAGAAGUUCAGGGGAUAUCAGAACCUCAGACAAAACUGAACCCAACGAUGAGUGGCAUCAUAUUACACUUGGACAUGGACAGAGUGGUUGAGACUGACCUAGAAAACUUGGAAGAGACCAUUGUACCACAUGUAUUAAGAAGUGAACUUGAGAUUGGCACAGAUGCAAAAAAUAUGCCUGAAACACCCACAUCAAGGGAAGCAGUGAGAACAGAGGCAAAGGGUAAUCAAGAUGUGACUAUUUCCAUCGCUAAAGGCAUGAAACUAAUUGGAAAACUGAAAGAUCAACAUGGUUUGAGUUCAUUUGCAAGUAAAGAUACCAUUAGUCCAGGGAAGAGCCUGAUAAAGUCAUCCAGAGACAAUCAAGAUGACAGUUUAUUGGAAACCAAACCUCAAGAAAAUACAAGUGACAAGUACCACCCAUCAAAGACAUUUCCAACAAAAGUGAUCAACAUGUUACCCUUCUCUGGUAAAGGUACGAGAGGGUACACAAAGACAAACAACAAGGUCUAGUAGCCUAAAACAGCCCAGAAGUGUGCCUUUUCACUCAUCUUCUUUGCACUGCCCUUUUUUUUAAUGCUUUUUUUAAAAAAAUUUUUAAUUAGGUAUUUUCUUCAUUUACAUUUCCAAUGCUAUCCC